GUGUCAGCAGCCGCGGUAAGACAGAGGGUGCAAACGUUGCUCGGAAUUACUGGGCGUAAAGCGCGUGUAGGCGGUGCCGCACGUCCGGUGUGAAAGCCCGGGGCUCAACCCCGGAAGCGCACUGGAAACGACGGCGCUGGAGUCCUGAAGAGGAGGGCGGAAUUCCCGGUGUAGAGGUGAAAUUCGUAGAUAUCGGGAGGAACACCAGUGGCGAAGGCGGCUCUCUGGACAGGAACUGACGCUGAGACGCGAAAGCGUGGGUAGCAAACAGGAUUAGAAACCCUGGUAGUCC
RNAcentral lists this ribosomal RNA (292 nucleotides) under uncultured bacterium. RNAcentral describes it as "partial 16S ribosomal RNA". It matches the Rfam family "Bacterial small subunit ribosomal RNA", at positions 505 to 796 of the family's 1533-position model. The record is from RNAcentral.